UUUAUCUUCUGGAGCUUUCUUUCUUAAGCUUUGGCCAUUUGUUUUUGUAUUGACCUAUUUCCUUACAUUCAUAGCAUGUUACCUCUUUGUUUAAUUUUCUUCUAGAAGUUGAUUAUGAGCGAUCUCCCUUGGGUCUUGGUCUUCUAAAGUUGUUAUUCCUUUUUCUCCAGAGUUGUUUUACUCUUCUAGUCAAAAGGGAUAACUCUUCUUCAUCGUGAUGAGUCUUCC
RNAcentral lists this long non-coding RNA (228 nucleotides) under Lathyrus oleraceus (garden pea). Its description in RNAcentral is "Pisum sativum (pea) long non-coding RNA (PSAT_LNC004904)". Lineage: Eukaryota; Viridiplantae; Streptophyta; Magnoliopsida; Fabales; Fabaceae. The record is from RNAcentral.